RNAcentral lists this unclassified non-coding RNA (300 nucleotides) under uncultured Oidiodendron. RNAcentral describes it as "sequence contains 5.8S rRNA gene, ITS2". The stretch from base 1 to 98 matches the Rfam family "5.8S ribosomal RNA", at positions 52 to 154 of the family's 154-position model. The record is from RNAcentral. Lineage: Eukaryota; Fungi; Ascomycota; Leotiomycetes; Myxotrichaceae.
GAGGCGUCAGAUGGGUAUAAGGGACAGGUGAGUCAUCGAAUCUUUGAACGCACAUUGCGCCCUGUGGUAUUCCGCAGGGCAUGCCUGUUCGAGCGUCAUUUCAACCCUCAAGCUCUGCUUGGUGUUGGGCCCUGCCCGCUGCGGCCGGCCCCAAAGACAGUGGCGGUGCCGCCUGGCCCUGAGCGUAGUACAUCUCUCGCUCCAGUGCCCGGUGGUAGCCUGCCAGAACCCCAACUCUCGUGGUUGACCUCGGAUCAGGUAGGGAUACCCGCUGAACUUAAGCAUAUCAAUAAGCGGAGG